UGUUCCGCUGUCGCCCCAGUGAAAACCAGGCGGGCCUUGAGCGCCCGCCUGGCUCCGGGGCCCAGGAGGGCGCUAAAGAUCACGGAAGGCUCGGGAAGGCUGUCCCGGCUCCCAGUUAUGUGGAAGAAGCAAAUGAGACCUUAUUCUCUUUGUGUGGAGGUUUUUUUAAGCCGUGGCGGCAAGCCGUAGGUGCACAGCAGUUUCUGAGAAGAUACCGGAGAGUCACGACCCACUGAGUCAGAGCCCCACGGACCUGAUGCCUGGUGCUGCCUGCUGUUCCUGGCACUCCCAUCACCCCUGGCUACUGGACUGUGCUCACUCACUGAGCCCCACUGAAGGAUGCAGGUCUUCAUUCUUGGAGCAGUAGCUGGGGAAGGAGGCCAGUGCAGGGGCUUCUGUUCCGCCCAAGAGGGACGCCCCUCUCCCAAACAUUUGGGAAGACCCUGCGAUCAUCCAGCUGACUCCUCUCACGGUUCAGAUGGGAAAACAGUCCGGAUGCACAUUCAAGGUCCACGAGGCACCAGUGCCCCUCGGGAAAGAGCAGGAGGAGAAAGACUCACAUCCCAGGCUUCAUGAGAAGGUGCUGAGCACUGGAAGGCAUGCUGGCACCAGGUAGCGGUUGCUCUGAAAUUCAGAGGAAGAACUACAGAGACUUCAGAAGCAGAAUGAGGCCUGACCUCCCCAGGUGGCAGAGAGCCUUGCUGAGAAGCUGAGGCUGGAGCAGCAGCUGAGGACUCUGGAGCAGGAGCUGGUGGCAAAGGAACAGGAGCUGGUGCAGCUCCGAGCAUCAAGGGCUCCAGCGCCGGGAGGGCAGGCGCCUCCAUCCGCCUCUCAACUCCUGAAGGUAGCAUUUGGGGAUUCUCCAGAGGGACAGGCAGAGUGACCCCUGCCUCCCUGUGGGACCCAGGCCCAGUUUCUCUCUCUGUCUUCGUCUCCCUAUCUGCAAGUUGGAGGGGGAAACAGAGGCUCGAAGGGUCCCUCCAGCUUGGACCUUUGCUGGUUCUCCUGGAUUCCUCAACUGCCCACCCUUCCCUGGCAGAGGUGGAGCUACCGCAUACCUGGUACCUGCCCUGCCUCUGCGCCCUCUGUGGGGGUCAGCCUCUGCCUCUGCCUCAUCUGCUUCCAGAUCUUAGCCACAGCCCUGGAACCAGAGGAGAGGAGCAUCUGAGAAGCAGCCAGGGGCAGUGCCCAGGCUGGGGAAGAAAGGUGGCGUGGAGACUGAGGCCCAGAGCCACGAGGGAACAGAUUCACAGCCUCGCUCUGCAGCAUAAGAGAUUGAGAGCUCUGUCAGCUGGGCCACAUGCCCCCCAGAACCAUCCUCGAUGCUGUCACUGAACGCUCCCCCCAUCUACUCCCUUAAGUGAAGCAGGGUUUUGCAGAGGGGGACUCUGGCAGGGUGAUGGGACAGAACAUCUUUGGGAUUGUUUCUCCAGCAUUGUCCUCCACAAAAUGUUCUCUGCCCUCCCUGCCAUAUACAGGCUACUGUGGGGGCUGCCAAGUUCUCAACUGAUUGGUCCAGCACUGGGUGCUGAACCCAACUGAACCAAUGGUCUCCUUCCUGGGGUCACUGGACUUAGGACAAAAGAGUAAUCUUUCCAGAGCUGAAGACUGGACACAUAAAACUGGGGAGCUGUCAACCGCCCUGUUUUUCUCUGCGGAAAAAGUUGUAUUUCAGUAAGAGCAAAUGGAGCUGAUGAUUCCCAGAAAGUGAAAUUGGGAUUGGAGAGAUUUUGGUUCAGCCCAGGGGGUCUCAUGCAUGCAGAAGACAUAAACUUGACCUUUGGGAUGGUCAUCUCACCUUGCUCUGUAGCUCAGGCGUCAGGCUGAGCUGGUCUUCAGGACAGGAGGGGAAGAAUACCUUCCACAGGCAGCGCUUCUGGGUUCCAGACCCUUCCUGAGGCCAGCCCCAGGUCCCAUUGCCCUUGGGCUCCUCCACACACCCUGGUGUCGGAGAAUAAAUACCCGUCCUGUCUGCUCAUAUGGGCCUGAGCGAUUUGGGUCCCUUACGAGGGAAUGCCUCCAAACCAGAUGGCUGCCCCCCUGUCCCAAAGGCCCUCCCGAUAGGCGGAGCAUUGCCCUCCACCGUCGUAUAUCAGACCCGGCUCAGGUUUGUUCCCCUGGCACAGAAGGCCACCCCACUACCCCUUUGCCUUCUUGUGUGUCCCUGUGUCCCAGCUGCUGACGGGGUUUGUACUCACUGUCUCCAAGAGCAGCGGGGGCUCCCACUCUUCCCAGUCCUGCUGGUCUGGUCGGUUCCUUCUCCCCUUCCUUCCGGUGGUGAUACAAACCUUCUCUUUCAGAAGUCCCAAGCCACCAACUCCCCCUCCUUUCCGGGCAGUAACCGGCACUUCAUUUCACAGGGAGGCGGGCGGAGACGCUGUCUGCCCCAGGCCCUUCCCAGCCGCCCCCCACCCCCGCUCGCCCCAUUGGCUGCGCGGAGGGCACAUGCCCAGCCCUGGCCAAUGAGGUGGGGGAAGCUGCGGCUCGUGGCUAGGAAAGCUGGUCCCGGAGAUGCUCAUGUCCCUCAGGUGACCCCCCUGUUGUGCGAGGCUUGGGGGGUCGGGUGGAGCCAGAGCCGAGACGUGGGAUGAUCAGACCCCCUCCCCGCGUCCUCUGCUUCCCUCUCGUCACCGCGCUGGGUUACCCCUGACCUAACUGAAAAGAGGCAUCUGCGGGAGAAGUUGGACAGCUGCAUUAAGAGUCCGUUCCCAGCCCUGCCAUUCACUACGUAUGUGACCUCGUGCACACUUCUGCUCUUCAGUUUCUUCAUCUGUAAAAUGAACAAAGUCACUGCCUCACAGGUCUAUGGGUGCAGUGUUAAAUGAGACACUGAGCACAGAGUGCUUUGCCUCGCUCGUGGUUAGGGCAGAUUCUGGACCCCGUAGCCACCGACUGCUCUUCUCACAGCUCUGGGACCUCGUGCUAGUUACUCAACCUCUCCGCGCCUCCAAAUUCAUAAAUGUGUAGAGGAGCAAAAGAGUUAAUUCAUGCAAAGAACUUAACCACGCCUGGCAUACACCAGUGUUCAGUAAUUGGUAAUUUCACAGCCUUCUUAUUACCAUCAGUGCCAUCCCAUGUCCUGGGGCACACGUUCAGAGUUCCUCUGGGGUACAAACCUGGGAGCACAAUUGCUGGGCCCCAGGGUAUGGGCACGUUCCACUUUACUAGGUACAGCCAAAGUGUUUUCCAGAGUUAGGCUAAUUUACACCCCCCCACCCACCCCCGGCAAUCUGUGAGAGUUCCCAUUGCUCCCCAUCCUCGCCAAGGCCUGGUAUUUUAAGACUACAGUUUGUGCCAAUCUGAUGGUGUGGAAUGGUUUUUUGUGCAAUUCCCUGAUUACUAAUGAGGACCAUUUUAUUUCCUCUUCUGCCAGACACCUGUUCAUGACUUUGCCCCCUCUCCUCAAUCCUUUUUGCUUUUGUUUUGCUUUUAAAUAAGCAUUUAAAAAAGAAAGAAAGAAAUUCUGACUAGUUGUGUGUUACAAGUAUCUCCUCCCAGUUUGUCUUUUUAUCUAUGGUACCUUUUGAUGAACUUUUUUCGGAGGGUCUAGUUUGAGGAAUUCUUCCUUUUCUUGAGGUCUUAGAUAUUCUCCUAUAUUUUUUUCUGUUAAUUUAGAGUGGGAUGGAAUUGCAGUGGCUCAGUGCCUUGUUCUUCUCAGAUUCUCCAUCUCUAUCAGGAGGCUUAUUCAGCUGCCACUUCUCCCUCAGCAUCCCCUCACAUCCACUCCAUACUUUUUCUAUCUCAUAUGUCUCUGGACCCUGCUUCUCCUCAUCUCUGGGCCGCCUCCUAUACCAGGCCCACUGAAUCUCCAUGUGCCAGCCCCCUGGUGUGUCACAGGAGGUUGUGAUGUGUGAUCCCAACUAUUGCUUAGUAAUUAAAGUACUAAAGGGUUGGUUAUUUCUUUCAAAAGAUUUUAAAGAAUCAGUGAGAGGUUCAAGACUGUCCCAGUGUCACCCUCACUUUCUAGCACUUCAAAAUGGCAGAGAGAACCCCACCUGUGCCUCAGAGGUUGCAGAGAGGCGAGGUAUAUGUUGUUAUGGAUGGAGGAGGGCAAUCACAAACCCACCCAGUGCUUUCGUUCUCUGCCCAUUUCUUUUGGUUUUGCCAAAACCAGGUUGUGCCCAUACAAUGCGCAUCGUGGCAGAGAAAAAGGCUGAGCAGUCUGG
Balaenoptera acutorostrata (minke whale) is the source of this 4166-nucleotide long non-coding RNA. RefSeq lists it as uncharacterized. The transcript has 7 exons. Lineage: Eukaryota; Metazoa; Chordata; Mammalia; Artiodactyla; Balaenopteridae. The record is from RefSeq and is a predicted model, not a curated record.